This 484-nucleotide ribosomal RNA is filed under the name uncultured bacterium. RNAcentral's name for it is "partial 16S ribosomal RNA". It matches the Rfam family "Bacterial small subunit ribosomal RNA", at positions 30 to 507 of the family's 1533-position model. The record is from RNAcentral.
AUUGAACGCUGGCGGCAGGCCUAACACAUGCAAGUCGAGCGGAUGAAGGGAGCUUGCUCCUGGAUUCAGCGGCGGACGGGUGAGUAAUGCCUAGGAAUCUGCCUGGUAUUGGGGGAUAACGUCCGGAAACGGGCGCUAAUACCGCAUACGUCCUGAUGUAGAAAGUGGGGGAUCUUCGGACCUCACGCUAUCAGAUGAGCCUAGGUCGGAUUAGCUAGUUGGUUGGGUAAAGGCCUACCAAGGCGACGAUCCGUAACUGGUCUGAGAGGAUGAUCAGUCACACUGGAACUGAGACACGGUCCAGACUCCUACGGGAGGCAGCAGUGGGGAAUAUUGGACAAUGGGCGAAAGCCUGAUCCAGCCAUGCCGCGUGUGUGAAGAAGGUCUUCGGAUUGUAAAGCACUUUAAGUUGGGAGGAAGGGAAGUAAGUUAAUACCUGGCUGUUUUGACGUUACCAAAAGAAUAAGCACCGGCUAACUUCGCG